AGAGUUUGAUCAUGGCUCAGAUUGAACGCUGGCGGCAUGCUUUACACAUGCAAGUCGAGCGGCAGCGCGGGGGCAACCCUGGCGGCGAGCGGCGAACGGGUGAGUAAUACAUCGGAACGUGUCCCGUAGUGGGGGAUAGCUCGGCGAAAGCCGGAUUAAUACCGCAUAUGCUCUACGGAGGAAAGCGGGGGACCUGCAAGGCCUCGCGCUAUGGGAGCGGCCGAUGUCCGAUUAGCUUGUUGGUGAGGUAAAGGCUUACCAAGGCGACGAUCGGUAGCUGGUCUGAGAGGAUGAUCAGCCACACUGGGACUGAGACACGGCCCAGACUCCUACGGGAGGCAGCAGUGGGGAAUUUUGGACAAUGGGGGAAACCCUGAUCCAGCCAUGCCGCGUGCGGGAAGAAGGCCUUCGGGUUGUAAACCGCUUUUGUCCGGAAAGAAAAGGUGUCUCCUAAUACGGGACGCUCUUGACGGUACCGGAAGAAUAAGCACCGGCUAACUACGUGCCAGCAGCCGCGGUAAUACGUAGGGUGCGAGCGUUAAUCGGAAUUACUGGGCGUAAAGCGUGCGCAGGCGGUUCGUUAAGUCUGAUGUGAAAGCCCCGGGCUCAACCUGGGAAUGGCAUUGGAAACUAGCGGGCUCGAGUGUGGCAGAGGGGGGUGGAAUUCCACGUGUAGCAGUGAAAUGCGUAGAGAUGUGGAGGAACACCGAUGGCGAAGGCAGCCCCCUGGGCUAACACUGACGCUCAGGCACGAAAGCGUGGGGAGCAAACAGGAUUAGAUACCCUAGUAGUCC
RNAcentral lists this ribosomal RNA (794 nucleotides) under uncultured bacterium. RNAcentral describes it as "bacterial SSU rRNA". It matches the Rfam family "Bacterial small subunit ribosomal RNA", at positions 8 to 796 of the family's 1533-position model. The record is from RNAcentral.